GAUGAACGCUGGCGGCGUGCCUAAUACAUGCAAGUCGAGCGAACGGACGAGAAGCUUGCUUCUCUGAUGUUAGCGGCGGAGGGGUGAGUAACACGAGGAUAACCUCCCUAUAAGACUGGGAUAACUUCGGGACACCGGAGCAAAUACCGGAUAAUAUUUUGAACCGCAUGGUUCAAAAGUGAAAGACGGUCUUGCUGUCACGUAUAGAUGGAUCCGCGCUGCAUUAGCUAGUUGGUAAGGUAACGGCUUACCAAGGCAACGAUGCAUAGCCGACCUGAGAGGGUGAUCGGCCACCCUGGAGCUGAGACACGCUCCAGACUCCUACGGGAGGCAGCAGUAGGGAAUCUUCCGCAAUGGGCGAAAGCCUGACGGAGCAACGCCGCGUGAGUGAUGACGGUCUUCGGAUCGUAAAACUCUGUUAUUAGGGAAGAACAUAUGUGUAAGGAACUGUGCACAUCUUGACGGUACCUAAUCAGAAAGCCACGGCUAACUACGUG
Molecule: ribosomal RNA, 497 nt
Filed under: uncultured bacterium
Lineage: Bacteria
Description: partial 16S ribosomal RNA
Rfam family: Bacterial small subunit ribosomal RNA
Source: RNAcentral